GGGCCCGCACAAGCGGUGGAGCAUGUGGUUUAAUUCGAUGCAACGCGAAGAACCUUACCUACACUUGACAUACAGAGAACUUACCAGAGAUGGUUUGGUGCCUUCGGGAACUCUGAUACAGGUGCUGCAUGGCUGUCGUCAGCUCGUGUUGUGAGAUGUUGGGUUAAGUCCCGCAACGAGCGCAACCCUCGUCCUAUGUUGCCAGCACGUAAUGGUGGGAACUCAUGGGAUACUGCCGGGGUCAACUCGGAGGAAGGUGGGGAUGACGUCAAAUCAUCAUGCCCCUUAUGUCUUGGGCUUCACGCAUGCUACAAUGGCCGGUACAGAGGGCUGCAAUACCGCAAGGUGGAGCGAAUCCCAAAAAGCCGGUCUCAGUUCGGAUUGAGGUCUGCAACUCGACCUCAUG
Molecule: ribosomal RNA, 406 nt
Filed under: uncultured bacterium
Lineage: Bacteria
Description: bacterial SSU rRNA
Rfam family: Bacterial small subunit ribosomal RNA
Source: RNAcentral